GACACGUGAAAUCCCGUCUGAACCCGGAACGACUAUGUUCCAAGGCUAAAUAUUGUGUUUGAGCGAUAGUGAACAAGUACCGCGAGGGAAAGGUGAAAAGCAGCCCGAGAGGGCGAUGAAAUAGUUUCUGAAACCGUACACUUACAAAGAAUCAGAGCUCAAGCGCGCGCAAGCGAGUGCUGGGUGAUGGUGUGCCUAUUGAAGAAUGAGCCAACGAGUUUAUCGACUGUUGCAGGUUAAGCCCCUCUGGGGUGGAGCCACAGUGAAAGCGAGGAUUAAUAGUCCGUUUGUAGCAGCGAUAAGACCCGAAACGGUGUGAGCGACCCAUGGCCAGGCUGAAUGUUUUAGAAAUAAAACAGAAGGGCCGAACCAACCAGCUGUGCAAAACUGGUGGAUGAGCUGUGGGUAGGGGAGAAAUUCCAAUCGAACACCGUGAUAGCUGGUUCUCCUCGAAACAUCUUUAGGGAUGGCCUCGAGUAUUCCCGCCGGAGGUAGAGCUACUGAAUGAAAACAGGGGCGCAAGCCUACUUUUUUCAACCAAACUCCGAAUGCCGGCGAUUAACAACUCGGGAGUCAGACGGUGGGGGCUAAGCUCCAUCGUCUAAAGGGAAACAGCCCAGACCAUCAACUAAGGUCCCCAAAUCAAUGCUAAGUGUAAAAAGUGGUUUUGUAGCUUUGACAACCAGGAUGUUGGCUUAGAAGCAGCCACCAUUCAAAGAAAGCGUAACAGCUCACUGGUCGAGCCGCAGAGCGCUGAAAAUAUACCGGGGCUAAGCAUUGUACCGAAGUUAUGGAUGCAUGAAGGAUUCGUCCGACAUGCGUGGUAGAGGAGCGUUCCAUUCAGCAGUGAAGUUGGACCCGCGAGGGCCGAUGGAGCGAAUGGAAGUGAGAAUGUUGGCAUAAGUAGCAGAAACGGGUGUGAGAAUCACCCGCACCGUAAAUCCAAGGUUUCCUGGGCAACGCGAAUCGUCCCAGGGUUAGUCGAUCCUAAGCUCAGGCCGAAAGGCGUAGGCGAUGGAAGAGCAGGUUAAUAUUCCUGCACUAUGAUAGUGGAGUUUUGUUCGUGCGCAUCUUCAAGAUGAGAGCGGAAUUUGGUUAUGACCGUAUCGCAAGAUCGAGGUGAAGUCUUCGGAUGGAUCCAAGUUUGGUCAAGAAGGUGCCUAGAAAAGCGCGCAAAACGUUGAAAUUAUUAUAACCGUACCGGAAACCGACACAGGUGGAUGGGCAUGAAUAUGCCAAGGUGUACGAGAGAACCCUCGUUAAGGAACUAGGCAAAAAAGUAGGCGUAACUUCGGGAUAAGCCUUACCUCUCGCAAGAGAGGUCGCAGCGAAAGAUAUCAGGCGACUGUUUACCUAAAACACAGCUCCAUGCGAAACCGUAAGGUGAUGUAUAUGGGGCGAUGCCUGGCCAGUGUCCGAAUGUUAAGGUGAGGGGUUAGCCGCAAGGCGAAGCCUUAAGCUGAAGCACGGAUGAACGCCGGCCGUAACUAUAA
Molecule: ribosomal RNA, 1493 nt
Filed under: Candidatus Magasanikbacteria bacterium RIFCSPHIGHO2_02_FULL_50_9b
Lineage: Bacteria; Candidatus Magasanikiibacteriota
Description: bacterial LSU rRNA
Rfam family: Bacterial large subunit ribosomal RNA
Source: RNAcentral